RNAcentral lists this ribosomal RNA (550 nucleotides) under Bacillus sp. CH415b_13T. Its description in RNAcentral is "bacterial SSU rRNA". It matches the Rfam family "Bacterial small subunit ribosomal RNA", at positions 96 to 632 of the family's 1533-position model. Lineage: Bacteria; Bacillati; Bacillota; Bacilli; Caryophanales; Bacillaceae. The record is from RNAcentral.
CGGCGGACGGGUGAGUAACACGUGGGCAACCUGCCUGUAAGACUGGGAUAACUUCGGGAAACCGGAGCUAAUACCGGAUAAUAUAAUGAACCUCCUGGUUCUUUAUUGAAAGAUGGUUUCGGCUAUCACUUACAGAUGGGCCCGCGGCGCAUUAUCUAGUUGGUGAGGUAAUGGCUCACCAAGGCGACGAUGCGUAGCCGACCUGAGAGGGUGAUCGGCCACACUGGGACUGAGACACGGCCCAGACUCCUACGGGAGGCAGCAGUAGGGAAUCUUCCACAAUGGACGAAAGUCUGAUGGAGCAACGCCGCGUGAGCGAUGAAGGCCUUCGGGUCGUAAAGCUCUGUUGUUAGGGAAGAACAAGUGCGAGAGUAACUGCUCGCACCUUGACGGUACCUAACCAGAAAGCCACGGCUAACUACGUGCCAGCAGCCGCGGUAAUACGUAGGUGGCAAGCGUUGUCCGGAAUUAUUGGGCGUAAAGCGCGCGCAGGUGGUCCUUUAAGUCUGAUGUGAAAGCCCACGGCUCAACCGUGGAGGGUCAUUGGAAA